RNAcentral lists this ribosomal RNA (245 nucleotides) under uncultured bacterium. RNAcentral describes it as "partial 16S ribosomal RNA". It matches the Rfam family "Bacterial small subunit ribosomal RNA", at positions 524 to 769 of the family's 1533-position model. The record is from RNAcentral.
UACGUAGGGGGCGAGCGUUGUCCGGAUUCAUUGGGCGUAAAGCGCUUUAAGGCGGUUCGCUAAGUCUGCUGUGAAAUCCCCGGGCUCAACCUGGGAAUGGCAGUGGAUACUGGCAAGCUAGAGUACGGUAGAGGGGGAUGGAAUUCCGCGUGUAGCAGUGAAAUGCGUAGAUAUGCGGAGGAACACCGAUGGCGAAGGCAAUCCCCUGGACCUGUACUGACGCUCAUGCACGAAAGCGUGGGAGC